CCCUUAACACCUUUCUUAAAAACCUAGGGACUAAUUAGCAAAAUACAAUAAAUAACCUAAACUUAGACCUAUACAAUAAGAGACUAAUAUCCAGGGGGAGAGAACAAACAGAUAGACUCUAAUCAAAAGCGCCGCUGACAUAAAAAACACCCCACCCCUGAAAUCCCGUUUUCUUCGACCCCUCCUCCACACUUCUUCUUAUUCAUCACCAUUAGAGACCCCUAGACAGAGGAGCUAAAGAAGCCUUCCUCCACAAUACACCCAAACACCCUUCCCCAUCGCUGGUCUUCUUCUUAACCAUCUGAACUUACACACACCCACGAAACCAAGGCUGAAAACAAAACAGAAACAUGGAGCAAGAGUGGACUUAGAAUUUAGUUCGAUUUUUGCUUCUAUAUGUUUCAUCAUUUUCUGGGAUUCCAUUGGUAUUUCAAGGUGUAAAGAAGAUGUGUAAAUCAAAGGCUAAAUCUAACAAUAACAGUUUGUUAUAGAGGUCGUUUGAGUUUCGAAGCUUUUGUUCCUUCUGAUUUCAAUGGAGAUGAGUUAAAUUCUACCCGUGUCGGACUUUGUUUGAGUGUUCGUCGCCGAUCAGGGUUCGUUCGCGGCUGUUAAUUUCUAUUUCUUGGUUACAGUUUGUGUUGGAUUUUCACUACCGGAUUCUUUUGUAAUUUGCCGAAGAAUUAAUUGAAAGUUUUGACAGGUUCAUCUUCUACUCCUCCUUAUUUUAUUAACAGAAGAUGUUUGUGAGUUAGUUUAUAUACUAAUCUAUGAUGCCGAUUUCUCGUGAAUUUUACUGAAUUUCUAUUUGUUUGGCGUGUUUGACUGAAGCUUGUCGAGUUAUGAGAUUGAAAAGAGUAAACUGUGCCCAAGAGUUGAAUAGUUCCAACUUAUCCGAAAGGAAGAUUAUAAAGAUAUGAAUAAUUCCUUAUGGAAAAGAUAAUGGUGUUUAGACUCAAUUGAAUGAUGUUAUGCAUAUGUGAACGUUCUGUUAGCUGAGCAAUUUAGCCUAUAUAGACUACAAUCUAGUUUUCUCCUUAUGUUGUUAGCCUUUUUCUUUGCUCUUUAUCUUAUUAUGGUGUUGAUCGAAAUACAAUGAUGUUGAGAUUUUGUUAGAUUGGAAAUGCUUAAGAGCGGGUUUAUGUGGUACCCAUAUGUGAUGCAAUUUUUGUCGUGAAUUCUGUUGUUUUCCAUUGAUUUUGGCAUAUCUUCUUUGUUCGAUUAGGUUUGUGUGCUACUGAUUCUUUCCUUGAGUUUCCCUUAUUUAAAUUAUGUUGUCGAGUUGUUACUUGUAUUUGAAGUUGAAUGAAAUAGUAAAUGGACGUUUGGUUUGGUUUGUGCUCAAAGGAAAUUGACUGAUUUCAAACAGUCAUUUUGUGGCCUCAUAUUUAGAAAUUGAUUAGUUCUAUCAAAAUUAGACCCACAAGUACAAAGUUUGAAAGGUCUUGCUGCUUUUUAUUGAUCUUCUAAAGGAUAAGUUUUAUUCCAUUGCUAAAUCGUAUGGUAGUACUAUGUGUUGGUAAUAACUGUGAAAAUAUGUUAAAGAGAUAGCACAUUAGUAUUUGUGGAAUUCGGUUGUGCUCGAUUAUUAUAGUUGAAUACAAAUCUCUACUUUAAAGAAAUUUAGGCGUGCCAUUCACACAAUUGAAUCACAUAGCAUAUGGCCCUCAUAUUAAUUUUACAACUUAGUGUAGAAAUCAAUUUGAGUUCUCGUAGUCUGCUUUAGGCGUGUUAAUUAAAUAAAGUGCCACAGCUACGGGUACGGUUCUUGUGACGUAGUUGUGAUACACAAUUCUAAAAUUUGGGGGUACAUUUAUGUGACCUGGUUACAAUUUAAUCUUGUUAAUAAAAUAAACAUGGUGUGUAUCUUGGGUACGGCUCCCGUGACAUGAUUCACGACAUGUAGUCAAAUAAUUAGCUGUAUAACAAUCAGAUUAUUAAAAGCGGUUUUAAAAGGUAUAAAAUGCACAUAGGUUUCAAAGAUGUUUUUAAAAUCAAAUAAAUAGGCCAAUAAUAAUAGUUGAGCGACCGUGCUAGAACCACGGAGCCCGGGAAUGCCUAACACCUUCUCCCGGGUUAACAGAAUUCCUUACCCGUAUUUCUAUGUUCGCAGACCAUAAAACAAAGUCAAUCUUUCCUCAAUUCAGGAUUUAAAAUUGGUGACUUGGGACACCAUAAAUUAUCCCAAGUGGCGACUCUGAAUUUUAAAUAAAACAAUCCCGUUUCGAUUGUCACUUGAAUUGAAAAAACUCCCUUUUAUCCUUUUAGGGGUAGGAAAAAGGAGGUGUGACAGACCCUUAUUACUCUGCCUUGUAGUAUUGGAUGGAGAAUUCGGUUGUGUUAUGUGGCAGCAUGAUGAAACGGGGAGGAAGGAGCAGGCCAUUUAUUACCUCAGUAAGAAGUUCACCCCG
RNAcentral lists this long non-coding RNA (2408 nucleotides) under Nicotiana tabacum (common tobacco). Its description in RNAcentral is "long non-coding RNA (NTAB_LNC013183)". Lineage: Eukaryota; Viridiplantae; Streptophyta; Magnoliopsida; Solanales; Solanaceae. The record is from RNAcentral.